Molecule: long non-coding RNA, 650 nt
Filed under: Lepisosteus oculatus (spotted gar)
Lineage: Eukaryota; Metazoa; Chordata; Actinopteri; Semionotiformes; Lepisosteidae
Description: lncRNA (ENSLOCG00000021928.1)
Source: RNAcentral
UUGAAGUCUUCCGUUGAGUUUCUCUUUCUCUCUACUCCCUUUUCAUCUCCAUUGCAGUUCUUCUCCUUGGAUUCUAUGUCCUUUCACUCCACUUUGAAUGUUUUCGCGUCGCCCGAUUGAUCUUUGUCUUAAUCGUAUCGCCUUCUUGUUUAGGGUGUAUUUAAUUGUGUUGGUAUAGGUAGCCUUUGCCAUUCUGUUUUCAAUAGCUGGGGAAACCGAACUCUGUAAUGUCACUGUUUUACUUACCAGGAUAGUUGACACACCUCAAAGCACCAGAGAAAAAUGGGAGCACAAGUGAAACACAGCCACAUGGGCUCAGCACAAGGGCUGCGUCCCCUUCACGCACAGCAGGAAGUGAUCUUACCGGCACAGCACAGUCAGCGAAGAAAAGAAAUGAGGAGAUCUACUCUUUCUAAUCCCCGAAUCCAAUGUGAGAAAUAACAUGGAUCCCGGGGAAUUCCAAAAGGAAAAAAAAAAGGAAACCCCAGAGGAUCAGGUUCUAAAUGAAGAGGAAACCAGGACACCUGCUGCGUGUUUCGCGAUGCUGCAGGCCACGCAGUGGAGUAAUAUUGACUGAAUAUCGGUCAUGUGCAGGGCUGUCCUCUCGAAUUAGAGGAAAGACCUGUUGUUGAAUAAAAAAGGAAAGCUAU